UCCUUACAUUGUUGAAAACCACCCCACCAAAAAAACCAUUUUGCUUAUAAACAUUGAUAUUUAUUAGAAAUUAAAAUGGAGAAAUUUCAUGAUGUUGUUUCUCCAGUUUGUUGCAAUAUCACCUUUCCGGUAGCCUCCGGAAAUCUCCAUUCUGCAUUCAUGUGCUCAUGAGAAUGAAAUCAACAAAUAACACCUUAGUAUCCAUAUAGAGAUAUUUUGGCUUGUGUGGACCUCCUACAAGGGUCAUGGGAGCCCCGAGAGUUUGUGGACCUCACUUUGAGAAUCACUGUUCUACAUAAUUCCUGUGGCUGUUUUUAACACCAUGGGCUUCUGUCUUCCUCCUACCUUCCUGGCUCCUGCUUCUUGUUAGGUUUCCAAGGGAAGGUGAGGGUUAAAGACACACAUAGAGCGAGAGGGCGGCUCAACAGCAAAUGCAGGUAUUUAUGUCCAGGUAAACCUGCCGAGGUGGAGGACCAGCUUAAUGCCAGUGCCCACCACUGCUUACAGGCUGGGAUACUUGUAGGUAUGGCAGGGAGGGGUCUGGGCAGUAUGGCGUGCUGCCAGGGAAGAUGUUGAGAAGACGUUCCCACAAUGAGGCAGUUGGGGCCUUGUUCCCACAGAAUGUAAUAAUGAUGUUCCUUGGACUUUUUCUCAGCAGAAUGUGUUAAAGUCAGGCGGUUGGGCAGGCAGGUUCUCAUGGCCCGAACCCUCGUGGAAUGUUUCACUUUGACCAAGGUCUGCAUAUUGGCAGGGAGCUUACAAAAUGGUGCAUUUUGGAUUAACAGGUCUCAGUCUUGGGCUCCUCGUUGUCUGACAGAUCCUAAAUCUUGGCCCCUGCUGUUCCAGGUUCUCUUCUCAUCAUGCAUGUUCUCUGGGUAAUUUCAUUCACUCCUAAGGCUUAAAACAUCAUCUCUCUGCUGAAGGCUUCUAAAUCUCUUUCCCUAGCUCGGAGCCCUUUUCUGAGAUUCAGAUCCAUGUGUAGUUUGAUCUGGUGGGCACUGGUACUUUUGUAUUCCACAGGUAUCUUUGGCAACUAUCUACUUCUUUCUAUCUUCAGGGCUAUUCUUUCAGGGUCAUUCUAGCAGUCCCUAGCAGAGUUUACUGUCCUUGUCCCCGCCUGCUUUUGGUCCAUUCUCCAUCAUUGUAGAGAGAUAUAUUUAAUCAAAUCUUCUCAUUCAUGAUUAGGUCAUGUCAGUGCCUUUCCAUUAGUCUUUGGAUAAAGGCUAAGCAUUUUAAAAUGCUUAAUGGCUUUUUGUGAUAUGACUCUUACCUAAAACUCUCCAGCUUGUGUUUUGCAGUUUGUCCCUUCUCUUGAACUUCAUCUUUCAGUCACACUGAACUUUCAGGCUCUCCUAAUGGCUAUGUGUUCUCAUCCUCUGGGCAUUUACCUCUGCUGUUCCAGGAAAUGGUCUUCAACAUCUUCAGAUACCUAGAAGGUUUGCCCCUCAGUGGGAAGAAAGCUUCCAACUCCCAGCGGUUCCAGCAGAAGUCCUGGGGCUGGAGAGCUGUUCCUGAGUUGCCUGUGAUCACAUACCACACCUGAUGGCAUCACUGUAUCCAGGCUCCAGGUGCAUAGAAUGUUGUGAGGUCAUGACUGCCAGCAUUAUGACCAGUCUUGGAACUAGGAUUGGGGUGGGGUUCAUCCCACCCAGACCACAGAGACUGAAAAUAAGAAAGGGGUGAGGCCUAAGGGACAAUCAGGAUGUUUUUCAGAGAGAAGUGUGGAUGCUGGACAGGAAGAACCACAGAUACCAGAUACGGAAAAGGAAGAAUCAACACUUUCAGAGAUGGAGCCUGUUGAGCCACAGUACCAACUAGUCAAUGCUGAAUCGACUUCUCCCUUUCUACAUUGCCUGAGAGAAGUCAUUGGGGAAUACUCUGUACACGAAUUUUCACUGUUGGGGAAAACAGAGAGUCAAGGGAUUGGAUUGUGGAUUGCAUUGGUGGUUUUCCUCAGUUUCCUCAUCUUCUCCACAAGUUUCUACAUAUCGAAUGCAGAGCAGCCCUUCUUCAAAGGACCUCCUACGGAAGCUGCUAAGGAACUCAGUCUGUAGCUCUGCGUGGAGCCAUGUGUAAACACUGAACUGAGACCUGCCACCUCCUACUACCUAAGGGCCCAUUUUCAUCUGAUAUCAUCCCCCAGAAACAAACUCAUGAUGACUUCCAUGUUUUUUUUAGAUUAGAUACAUGGAGAAUUUUCCUUUCCCUUAGAAUUAAAAUCCUGCAUUCUAAUUUUCAGGUAAAACUUUUUCGUCUCUACAGAACUCUCUCCAAGUGCACACCCAUAGAUUGGUUUGCUUGUGGAAUCCUAGCAUAUCAGAAAUGAAGGAAUCUCAGAAAUUGUUUUCAUCAAACACCUCAUAUGCAGAAGGCAAAAUGAAGGUUCAGAGCAGAAAUGAUUUGUCCAAGGAUGCAACACUCAUCUGCAGCAGAGGGAAGCUGAGCUCUGCAGACCCACCUAGCACUGCAGAGGCAGCCCUCUAGGACAAGGCUUCAUAAAAAAGUGACUUUAUGAGUUGGCUCCAUAAAAAAGAUACAGAUUAAGAAAUUGUUUAAACAGUGAUCUCUAUAUAAUUACUCUUUUAUUUAAAAGUAUGGGCUGGGAGCGGUGGCUGACGCCUGUAAUCCCAGCACUUUGGGAGGCCGAUGUGAGCAGAUAACCUGAGGUCGGGAGUUAGAGACCAGCCUGACCAACAUGGAGAAACUCCGUCUCUACUAAAAAUACAAAAUUAGCAGGGUGUGGUGGUGCAUGCCUGUAAUCCCAGCUACUCGGGAGGCUGAGGCAGGAGAACUGCUUGAACCCAGGAGGCAGAGGUUGUGGUGAGCCGAGAUCGCGCCAUUGCACUCCAGCCUGGGCAACAAGAGCGAAACUCUGUCUCAAAAUAAAUAAAUAAAUAAGUAUUCCU
RNAcentral lists this long non-coding RNA (2906 nucleotides) under Homo sapiens (human). RNAcentral describes it as "HSALNT0371406". The record is from RNAcentral. Lineage: Eukaryota; Metazoa; Chordata; Mammalia; Primates; Hominidae.